Onychostoma macrolepis is the source of this 2446-nucleotide long non-coding RNA. RefSeq lists it as uncharacterized. Lineage: Eukaryota; Metazoa; Chordata; Actinopteri; Cypriniformes; Cyprinidae. The transcript has 7 exons. The record is from RefSeq and is a predicted model, not a curated record.
GUUAUUUUGACGGUAUUUCGUUCCCGCUCAUCCUGAAGAGACGUUUGGGAAACAAACAGAAGACAUUCGCCUUUUUUGAAGUCAGUGUACCAUCAGAAUGACUCUGAAACUGAUAUUUCAAGAUCACAAAAGGUGAAUUUGUGACCGUAGUGAAGUCUGAAGAAAGUUUUAACAGGUUUGAAACGACAUCAAGGUAUCCAGGACGAGGGCUUUGAAAGCUUGUCCUUCGGGACGGGCGGCGCUGGCAUGCACAGGUCAACACGAUGGUGAUCUUGGACUCUAUACUGAAUAGCUCUUCCUGUGGCGAUGGAGGCCGCCGUGGCCGUGAGUAAUCUCAGCCUCCAUUCACCAUCCUUGAUUUACUUGAACCACACCGGCCGCCAACCAGAAGCAUCGCUUUCUCAUGAAUCCACAAUGGGCUUCAUCCAGCCCCUCCAAUAAAUGAUGCCACACACAGUCAGGUUGGUCAAAACAGCCUCAAAUGUGUCGUCUUGACAACUGACCGAAUCGAAUUGAAUGAAUCCACUCACUCUUAAGAUGGGAUUUGGUUCAAAGUCAAAGCUUCACAUUGUAGUAGAGGUCCAGCCCUUUAGACAAAGGUGUGUAAAUCUUUUUCUGAUUAGACAAUAACCAACCUGCAGAUUCCUCAACUCAGUUAAGUCCCUUAAUCGUGCAUAUUUUGCAUGGAAACAACCACUGUACAAAUAUAAAAUAUUUUUUUAUGAAGUUUUUGUAACGUUGCAUUAGUCGGUUGCUUUUUCAAAGCCUUGAAAUGCUAAAUUAACAUGUUUACUACUAUUUACAAUUAUAUUUGAAUAUUUUAAAUACAGUGGAGAUCAAAAUUAGAGAACAAUUUAUGAACACUUGAUUUUUUCAGAAAUAAUAAUCUUAAUUGUUGAAAAUUUCAGGAAUUUUAGAUGUGGCUAUACCAUGUUAGUAGAACAGUGUCUUACAAAAUAACUAAGACACUUCAACAAAACCCCUUUAUUGUGUGGAAAACAUAGUGGUCAAAAUUAGAGAACAGGAAUGAUUGUAGUACAAAGAAAGAUAACAACUAAAAUUUUGGAGGGUUACAGCUGUCAGAAAUUAGUCGGAAGUGUAGAGGCCCUUGCUUUGAAUGACUUCAGCACAUCUGCGGCCGGAAGACAUCACUAGUUUCUCACACUGAGCUGGUGUGAUCUAGGUCCACUCUUCCUCCAGUCUCUUCCACAGUUCGGUGACUGUAGUGGGUUUAACCAUAACCUUGUUGCCAACUUUGAUUCUCCUCUCUUCACACUACAUGCUCCUCAGCAAAGGUGAGCUUAGCCUUUUGAUUCUUUCUACUGAUAAGAGGUUUGGUCACUGCACUUUCAGUCCAAAUGAUCUUAAACGUCGAGACAGAUCCUUACCCGGCUCAGCACUGAACUGGCGAGCAAUUCCAGCUGCAGUGCUGAACCGAUUGCCCAUUGAGAGUCUCUGCAUUAUCUUGUCCUCUCGUGCAUUUGUCUUUCGUGGACGACCAGCCUUUUUGGGGGACUUUAAUUAGUGAAAUUGUAAAGAUGCAAUAUUCAAGAAAUCACAGAUCUGGAACGACCAACUUCUCUUGCUUCGGCUGCUAUUGGCCUUCUGGACAACAUUGCGCAUUUCUGUUCUGUGUCAGAUGCGUCACACGGAUAUAUUGUUUUCGUUCCGAUCAAAGCGCAAACAACAUAGAAAACAUAUCCACAUGGCACAGCUGACACAGAACAGCAUACGCUGUUUACAUUCAGUGGAUACUCUCCAAAAUGGCGCAAGGGUGACCCGGAGGAGACGAAUUGUUGAAUAAUUUUUUUUUCUCUCUUGCGCACAAAAUGUAUUCUCGUAGCUUUUAAGUAAAAUUAUGGUUGAACCCCUGAUGUCACAUGGAAUAUUUUACCCAUGUCCCAUUUUAUCCAUUUUACGUUUCUGGACCUUGAUCAUGUAAGGACACUUGCUGUCUAUGGGAGGGUCAGAGAGCUCACGGGAUGCAUCAAAAAUAUCUUAAUUUGGAGUUCCAAAGAUGAACGGAGGUCUUACGGGUUUGGAACGACAUGAGGUCAUGGCAGCAUUGGAAAAGCCGCGUGGAAGUGACCAGUGCGCUUUCACCUCUCACCGGUCUGAGGCCGGAGGAGCUGCGCCAGGCCGUCCCGCUGAAGGUGACGUGUGUGUGGUCCCGACCGGUCCAAGACAGAGGUUCAGUCCGGCCGCAGGACCGAUCAUCGUCCAGGAAUCCGACAAACACCAGAAACCUCUGUGUAGUCCUGAAAGACUCAUCGACAGGAAAAAACAAGUACAAGCUUGACUUGUAAUUCAGACGACAGCUGGUUUUACUUAAUCAGCCAUUCUGGAGAAAAUCAACAGAAUGUUGAAUUGAUAAAGAAUUGUGGUUUAGAGGAAUAAUCGAUGAUUCAUGAAGGACUCAUGACGACCUCAGUGUUUAUGUUCUCAU